RNAcentral lists this ribosomal RNA (437 nucleotides) under uncultured Dehalococcoidia bacterium. Its description in RNAcentral is "bacterial SSU rRNA". It matches the Rfam family "Bacterial small subunit ribosomal RNA", at positions 342 to 795 of the family's 1533-position model. Lineage: Bacteria; Bacillati; Chloroflexota; Dehalococcoidia. The record is from RNAcentral.
CGGGGGGCUGCAGCAAGGAAUAUUGUGCAAUGGGCGAAAGCCUGACACAGCGACGCCGCGUGGGGGAAGACGGCCUUCGGGUUGUAAACCCCUUUUCUCAGGGAAGAAUAAUGACGGUACCUGAUGAAUAAGUCACGGCUAACUACGUGCCAGCAGCCGCGGUAAUACGUAGGUGGCAAGCGUUAUCCGGAUUUACUGGGCGUAAAGAGGGUGCAGGCGGCUUUCCAAGUCGAAUAUAAAAUCUCCCGGCUUAACUGGGAGGGACUAUUCGAUACUGUUGGGCUAGAGGGCAGCAGGGGGAGGUGGAAUUCCCGGUGUAGUGGUGAAAUGCGUAGAUAUUGGGAGGAACACCAGUGGCGAAGGCGGCCUCCUGGGCUGUUGCUGACGCUGAGGCCCGAAAGCGUGGGGAGCAAACAGGAUUAGAUACCCUGGUAGUC